This 557-nucleotide ribosomal RNA is filed under the name Candida albicans. RNAcentral describes it as "eukaryotic LSU rRNA". It matches the Rfam family "Eukaryotic large subunit ribosomal RNA", at positions 76 to 649 of the family's 3401-position model. The record is from RNAcentral. Lineage: Eukaryota; Fungi; Ascomycota; Pichiomycetes; Serinales; Debaryomycetaceae.
UGCCUCAGUAGCGGCGAGUGAGCGGCAAAAGCUCAAAUUUGAAAUCUGGCGUCUUUGGCGUCCGAGUUGUAAUUUGAAGAAGGUAUCUUUGGGCCCGGCUCUUGUCUAUGUUCCUUGGAACAGGACGUCACAGAGGGUGAGAAUCCCGUGCGAUGAGAUGACCCGGGUCUGUGUAAAGUUCCUUCGACGAGUCGAGUUGUUUGGGAAUGCAGCUCUAAGUGGGUGGUAAAUUCCAUCUAAAGCUAAAUAUUGGCGAGAGACCGAUAGCGAACAAGUACAGUGAUGGAAAGAUGAAAAGAACUUUGAAAAGAGAGUGAAAAAGUACGUGAAAUUGUUGAAAGGGAAGGGCUUGAGAUCAGACUUGGUAUUUUGCAUGUUGCUCUCUCGGGGGCGGCCGCUGCGGUUUACCGGGCCAGCAUCGGUUUGGAGCGGCAGGAUAAUGGCGGAGGAAUGUGGCACGGCUUCUGCUGUGUGUUAUAGCCUCUGACGAUACUGCCAGCCUAGACCGAGGACUGCGGUUUUUACCUAGGAUGUUGGCAUAAUGAUCUUAAGUCGCC